This 454-nucleotide long non-coding RNA is filed under the name Sorghum bicolor (sorghum). RNAcentral's name for it is "long non-coding RNA (SBIC_LNC007719)". Lineage: Eukaryota; Viridiplantae; Streptophyta; Magnoliopsida; Poales; Poaceae. The record is from RNAcentral.
CAAUGGACUUAAUGGAGGCAGUCACUGUACUAAGCCCGCCUCGGUUAACAAAGAAAAUAAAAUAAAAAAAUCUAGAUCCUAGAGCCUGGAGCCACCGUCGUCUAGGCCGUCCUUUCCAUGGUCCGUAUUAGCUCCCAUCGACAUCACAAGGUCGCUCAUGCGCCACUGUCCUCCUGCUUGCUGCCGCAGUCGUCCUCGCUCGUGCUAGUUCUUAGGGUUCCGCUCGCCGCCGCCGUCGUCUAUGCGGCUCCUGCCAGCACCAUAUCUGCAAAAGGGGAGAGGGAAGAGUGAGUGAGGGAAAUAAAAAGAGAAAGAUAGAGAGAGAUGGGGAGACUGUACCUGCCCUAUCGGCAAUGCCGGUGCUGUCCUUCGCUAGAUCUGGCUGGCCUCCAUCAAAUCCGGCUGCCCUCCACCAGAUCCGCCUCGUCUCCUCCUCGCCUCUUUCUUUGUUGCC